This 264-nucleotide ribosomal RNA is filed under the name unidentified marine bacterioplankton. Its description in RNAcentral is "partial 16S ribosomal RNA". It matches the Rfam family "Bacterial small subunit ribosomal RNA", at positions 47 to 339 of the family's 1533-position model. The record is from RNAcentral. RNAcentral also lists the same sequence under 1 other name.
CUUAACACAUGCAAGUCGAACGAGACCUUCGGGUCUAGUGGCGCACGGGUGCGUAACGCGUGGGAAUCUGCCCUUAGGUACGGAAUAACUCAGAGAAAUUUGUGCUAAUACCGUAUGAUGUCGAAAGACCAAAGAUUUAUCGCCUAAGGAUGAGCCCGCGUAAGAUUAGCUUGUUGGUGAGGUAAAAGCUCACCAAGGCGACGAUCUUUAGCUGGUCUGAGAGGAUGAUCAGCCACACUGGGACUGAGACACGGCCCAGACUCC